Molecule: ribosomal RNA, 390 nt
Filed under: uncultured Didiniidae
Lineage: Eukaryota; Ciliophora; Litostomatea; Haptorida; Didiniidae
Description: partial small subunit ribosomal RNA
Rfam family: Eukaryotic small subunit ribosomal RNA
Source: RNAcentral
GCUUGUCUCAAAGAUUAAGCCAUGCAUGUCUCAGUAUAAGCUUUUACACGGCGAAACUGCGAAUGGCUCAUUAAAACAGUUAUCGUUUCUUUGGUGGUUAUUGAUUACAUGGAUAACCGUGGUAAUUCUAGAGCUAAUACAUGCUGUAAGCCUGACUUUAUGGGAAGGUUGUAUUUAUUAGAUCCCAAACCGAUAGCUUCGGCUAUUGUGACGAAUCAUAAUAACUUGUCGGAUCGGGUAUUACUCGAUGGAUCAUUCAAGUUUCUGCCCUAUCAGCUUUCGAUGGUAGUGUAUUGGACUACCAUGGCGAUAACGGGUAACGGGGAAUUAGGGUUCGAUUCCGGAGAGGGAGCCUGAGAAACGGCUACCACUUCUAAGGAAGGCAGCAGG